GGGGCUGUAGCUCAGUGGAAGAGCAUUUGCCUCACAUGCAUGAGGUCCUAGGUUCAACUCCUACUACUUCCA
RNAcentral lists this transfer RNA (72 nucleotides) under Neotoma lepida (desert woodrat). It matches the Rfam family "tRNA". From Rfam's summary of the family: Transfer RNA (tRNA) molecules are approximately 80 nucleotides in length. Lineage: Eukaryota; Metazoa; Chordata; Mammalia; Rodentia; Cricetidae. The record is from Rfam by way of RNAcentral.